GACGAACGCUGGCGGCGUGCUUAACACAUGCAAGUCGAACGGAAAGGCCCUGCUUUUGUGGGGUGCUCGAGUGGCGAACGGGUGAGCAACACGUGAGUAACCUGCCCUUGACUUUGGGAUAACUUCAGGAAACUGGGGCUAAUACCGGAUAGGAGCUCCUGCUGCAUGGUGGGGGUUGGAAAGUUUCGGCGGUUGGGGAUGGACUCGCGGCUUAUCAGCUUGUUGGUGGGGUAGUGGCUUACCAAGGCUUUGACGGGUAGCCGGCCUGAGAGGGUGACCGGCCACAUUGGGACUGAGAUACGGCCCAGACUCCUACGGGAGGCAGCAGUGGGGAAUAUUGCACAAUGGGCGGAAGCCUGAUGCAGCAACGCCGCGUGCGGGAUGACGGCCUUCGGGUUGUAAACCGCUUUCGCCUGUGACGAAGCGUGAGUGACGGUAAUGGGUAAAGAAGCACCGGCUAACUACGUG
Molecule: ribosomal RNA, 468 nt
Filed under: uncultured bacterium
Lineage: Bacteria
Description: partial 16S ribosomal RNA
Rfam family: Bacterial small subunit ribosomal RNA
Source: RNAcentral